GAUGAACGCUGGCGGCGUGCCUAAUACAUGCGAGUCGAGCGAACGGACGAGAAGCUUGCUUUUCUGAUGUUAGCGGCGGACGGGUGAGUAACACGUGGAUAACCUACCUAUAAGACUGGGAUAACUUCGGGAAACCGGAGCUAAUACCGGAUAAUAUUUUGAACCGCAUGGUUCAAAAGUGAAAGACGGUCUUGCUGUCACUUAUAGAUGGAUCCGCGCUGCAUUAGCUAGUUGGUAAGGUAACGGCUUACCAAGGCAACGAUGCAUAGCCGACCUGAGAGGGUGAUCGGCCACACUGGAACUGAGACACGGUCCAGACUCCUACGGGAGGCAGCAGUAGGGAAUCUUCCGCAAUGGGCGAAAGCCUGACGGAGCAACGCCGCGUGAGUGAUGAAGGUCUUCGGAUCGUAAAACUCUGUUAUUAGGGAAGAACAUAUGUGUAAGUAACUGUGCACAUCUUGACGGUACCUAAUCAGAAAGCCACGGCUAACUACGUGCCAGCAGCCGCGGUAAUACGUAGGUGGCAAGCGUUAUCCGGAAUUAUUGGGCGUAAAGCGCGCGUAGGCGGUUUUUUAAGUCUGAUGUGAAAGCCCACGGCUCAACCGUGGAGGGUCAUUGGAAACUGGAAAACUUGAGUGCAGAAGAGGAAAGUGGAAUUCCAUGUGUAGCGGUGAAAUGCGCAGAGAUGUGGAGGAACACCAGUGGCGAAGGCGACUUUCUGGUCUGUAACUGACGCUGAUGUGCGAAAGCGUGGGGAUCAAACAGGAUUAGAUACCCUGGUAGUCCACGCCGUAAACGAUGAGUGCUAAGUGUUAGGGGGUUUCCGCCCCUUAGUGCUGCAGCUAACGCAUUAAGCACUCCGCCUGGGGAGUACGACCGCAAGGUUGAAACUCAAAGGAAUUGACGGGGGCCCGCACAAGCGGUGGAGCAUGUGGUUUAAUUCGAAGCAACGCGAAGAACCUUACCAAAUCUUGACAUCCUUUGACAACUCUAGAGAUAGAGCCUUCCCCUUCGGGGGACAAAGUGACAGGUGGUGCAUGGUUGUCGUCAGCUCGUGUCGUGAGAUGUUGGGUUAAGUCCCGCAACGAGCGCAACCCUUAAGCUUAGUUGCCAUCAUUAAGUUGGGCACUCUAAGUUGACUGCCGGUGACAAACCGGAGGAAGGUGGGGAUGACGUCAAAUCAUCAUGCCCCUUAUGAUUUGGGCUACACACGUGCUACAAUGGACAAUACAAAGGGCAGCGAAACCGCGAGGUCAAGCAAAUCCCAUAAAGUUGUUCUCAGUUCGGAUUGUAGUCUGCAACUCGACUACAUGAAGCUGGAAUCGCUAGUAAUCGUAGAUCAGCAUGCUACGGUGAAUACGUUCCCGGGUCU
This 1372-nucleotide ribosomal RNA is filed under the name uncultured bacterium. Its description in RNAcentral is "bacterial SSU rRNA". It matches the Rfam family "Bacterial small subunit ribosomal RNA", at positions 28 to 1381 of the family's 1533-position model. The record is from RNAcentral.